CCUACGGGAGGCAGCAGUGAGGAAUAUUGGUCAAUGGGCGAGAGCCUGAACCAGCCAAGUCGCGUGAAGGAUGAAGGAUCUAUGGUUUGUCAACUUCUUUUAUAUGGGAAUAAAGUGAGGAACGUGUUCCUUUUUGUAUGUACCAUAUGAAUAAGCAUCGGCUAACUCCGUGCCAGCAGCCGCGGUAAUACGGAGGAUGCGAGCGUUAUCCGGAUUUAUUGGGUUUAAAGGGUGCGUAGGUGGUUAAUUAAGUCAGCGGGGAAAGUUUGUGGCUCAACCAUAAAAUUGCCGUUGAAACUGGUUGACUUGAGUAUAUUUGAGGUAGGCGGAAUGCGUGGGGUAGCGGUGAAAUGCAUAGAUAUCACGCAGAACUCCGAUUGCGAAGGCAGCAUGCCGGCUUCCUACUGACGCUGAAGCACGAAAGCGUGGGGAUCGAACAGGAUUAGAUACCCUUGUAGUC
This 460-nucleotide ribosomal RNA is filed under the name uncultured bacterium. RNAcentral's name for it is "partial 16S ribosomal RNA". It matches the Rfam family "Bacterial small subunit ribosomal RNA", at positions 338 to 795 of the family's 1533-position model. The record is from RNAcentral.